RNAcentral lists this long non-coding RNA (2882 nucleotides) under Homo sapiens (human). Its description in RNAcentral is "HSALNT0282796". Lineage: Eukaryota; Metazoa; Chordata; Mammalia; Primates; Hominidae. The record is from RNAcentral.
UUCCACCAUCACCGCAACACAAGGCAAGGGUAGAGUCCUUUCCCUAAGCACAUGACCACAACAGGACCAAGCCAACAAGGAAGAAGGGGGAGAAAUGGAUUUGGGCAGCCAGACAGCACUGUCUGCUUUACCCGCCUACCUCCAUGUAUGAAUUGUUUGGUUCAAAGGGUGCUGCACAGGAUUCCUCAGGGCUACACGAGUUAAAGACAAAGAUUCAAGGACCCUGGAAGAGUCUCUCUGUCAAGGCAGUGCUGGCAUCUGCAGCAAGAUAGAGCUCCCUGCAGGGUGUCCCUGGUGAAAACUGCAGACAAGUGCUCUGAGGUGCUGCUGCAGUGGGCUCCUCACCAGACCAGUUCUGCAGCGUGGUUUGAGUGUUGUUCCUGGCUGCAAACCUGCUUCUCCAGCCCGCCUACUGAUUCUGGAAGCUGCCCAAAUAUCCUUUUAAUGAAUUCCUUUUCUGCCUAAAUCAUCUAGAGUCCAAUUCUGUUGCUUGCAAUCAAGGUUCUAGACUGAUACGCACCUGUAACUCCUUCAGGAAUUUGUCCUACUUCUGAGAAGUCCCAAAGGGCUUUGUCCCCAAGGACAGUUUCUAUGACAAAUCUACAAAGGGGAUUCUCUGUAAAUGCCCAUUCUGUUAUGAAUACUAAAAUUAGAGACCGUAAGGCUAGCCACCAUUGUUCCAUAGUAUCUAGUUUAGUACCAGCGAGCACAUAUGUUCUAAGCAAUGCUGGAAAGCCCCUUUCAAAUAACUUUUGCCUUGGCAAAAGACGUUGUAAUGCUUCUUGAAAUAGUUUCAUGAUGUCAUUUACGUAGUAGACCUGAUUUCUGCGAACACAUUAUUUUGAAAUGAGGAUUUAAAUUGUGCUUUGGCAGGAACUGAAUAUUCAAAUGUAAUGAGUUUAAUUGAUUAUGAGAAUGUUUCUUUUAAGAUGAUGCAAUAACUGCCUGGUAUUGAGCCUGCUGCUCCAGUGUGCACUAGUAGAAAGGCUUUCAAAAUUGAUCUUGGUACAUUUGAAAUCUGGUAAGCAAUUGAUUCUCUCUCUAAGCCUCAGUAUAGAAUCUAGUUCUAAGUGAUAAGGCACUAACAAUGCCCUGAAACCAGACCAAAAUGGGUCUGCCUCUUGCUAGAGCUUUGAAUUCCAGCCAUGGGAGUAUGACUGGGGAGAGAUUCAACCUGUGGGGCCAUCUCCUCCUCUCAUGACUGCGUGGACCCACUUUCCCCAUUUGUCUCUACCUGCUGUGCCCACUUCGGGAGGGCCAAAAGUGUGCUGUAUUCGAGGCUGUACCAAAGAUGUUACCAGAGCUGCUGAGCAUCUGAGACUUAGCGGGUAUAGAGGGUGUCUGCAGGCCAAAAAUAUAUGUGCUGGCAAAGGAAUCUUGGAGGGGCAAGAAACUGAUCUAUAUCUUGAUUGUGGUGGUGGUUAUGACUCUAGGCAUCUGUUUAAACUCAUAGACCUGUACACUAAUAUGAGCAAAUUUUACUGUAUGCAAAUUAAAUAUAAACCAGGCAUGUCGAUUUGCACGUGUAAUCUCAGGUACUCGGGAGGCUGAAGUGGAAGGAUUGCUUGGGGCCAGGAGUGCAAGAGCAGCCUGGGCCGCAUAGCAAGACUGCCUCUAAAAAAAAUUAAUUAGGCCGGGCGCGGUGGCUCAAGCCUGUAAUCCCAGCACUUUGGGAGGUCGAGGCCGGUGGAUCAUGAGGUCAGGAGACGGAGACCAUCCUAGUUAACACGGUGAAACCCCGUCUCUACUAAAAAUACAAAAAAUUAGCUGGGCAUGGUGGCAGGCUCCUGUAAUCCCAGCUACUCGGGAGGCUGAGGCAGGAGAAUGGCGUGAACCCAGGAGGCGGACCAUGCAGUGAGCCGAGAUCGCGCCACUGCACCCCAGCCUGGGCGACAGAGCGAGACUCCGCCUCAAAAAAAAAUUAAUUAAUUAAACAUAAAUUUUAAAACAAGAAUAUGUGUGCUGGAAUAUCCACUUUCCACAUGUGAAUUGCCGUACAGUGGCACAGUGUGCAGGCACAUGACCACAGUGUCUCCAAUCUAAUCUGGAAGCAUUAUGUGGCUCAGUUCACACUUCAAUACCCAGCUCAAUUAUAUAAUUCUUUUUUUUUUUUUUAAGACAGCGUCUCACUCUGUCACCCAGUCUGGAGUAGAGUGGUGCCAUUAAAGCUCACUGCAGCCUCAAACUCCUGGGCUCAAAUGAUCCUCCUGACUCAAUCUCCUGAGUAGUUGGGACUUUGGGUGCAUGCCACUGAGCCCAGCUAAUUUUUAAAACCUUUUGUAGAGACAAGGUCUCACUUUUUUGCCCAGGCUGGUCUCAAACUCUUGGGCUCAAGUGAUCCUCCCGCCUCAACAUCCUAAAGUGCUGGAUUUGCAGGCAUCAGCCACCAUGCCCAGCCUCAAUUAUGUAAUUUUUUUUUAAUAGAGACAAGGUCUCCCUAUGUUGCCUAGGCUGGUCUUGAACUUCUGGGCUUAAGGGAUCCUCCCUCCUCAGCCUCCCAAAGUGUUGGGAUUACAGUCAUGAGCUACCGUGCCUGGCCCCAAUUAUGUAAUUCAAAAAUUUGUGAGUGACUGCCCACUUUAGGGCAGAGAAUUAACAUGUGUGAGGAAGGUACGGGGCUUGGUUUUCUUGUGGGCUCCUACUGAAGGCCAAGAGAAUCUGCUCCUGGCUGGGCUCGGUGGCUCAUGCUUGUAAUCCCGGCACUUUGGGAGACCAAAGCAGGAAGAUCACUUGAGCUCUGGAGUUCAAGACUAGCCUGGGGAACAUGGUGAGACCCCCCCAUCUCCACAAAAAGUAAAACAAUUAGCCAGGUGUGGUGGCAUGCACCUGUGGCCCCGGUGACUCGAGAGGCUAAGCUGGGAGGAUCACUUGAGCCAGGGAGG